GCCAGCAGCCGCGGUAAUACGUAGGUGGCAAGCGUUGUCCGGAAUUAUUGGGCGUAAAGCGCGCGCAGGCGGUCCUUUAAGUCUGAUGUGAAAGCCCACGGCUCAACCGUGGAGGGUCAUUGGAAACUGGGGGACUUGAGUGCAGGAGAGAAGAGUGGAAUUCCACGUGUAGCGGUGAAAUGCGUAGAGAUGUGGAGGAACACCAGUGGCGAAGGCGACUCUUUGGCCUGUAACUGACGCUGAGGCGCGAAAGCGUGGGGAGCAAAACAGGAUUAGAUACCCUGGUAGUCCACGCCGUAAACGAUGAGUGCUAAAUGUUAGAGGGUUUCCCCCCUUUAAUGCUUGCAUAAACGCAUUAAGCACUCCCCCUGGGGAGGACCGCCGCCAGGCUUAAAAUCCAAGGAAUUGACCGGGAAC
This 417-nucleotide ribosomal RNA is filed under the name uncultured bacterium. RNAcentral describes it as "bacterial SSU rRNA". It matches the Rfam family "Bacterial small subunit ribosomal RNA", at positions 507 to 921 of the family's 1533-position model. The record is from RNAcentral.